RNAcentral lists this long non-coding RNA (234 nucleotides) under Hordeum vulgare. Its description in RNAcentral is "long non-coding RNA (HVUL_LNC005204)". Lineage: Eukaryota; Viridiplantae; Streptophyta; Magnoliopsida; Poales; Poaceae. The record is from RNAcentral.
GCCGAAGUUGAGUUCUAAUCUUCAAAAGCAUUGCAAGCUUGGUGACUCUAAUGCAGGAGGCAUGUGGCCCUCUUUAAAUAAUGCAGUUUCACAUGAUGGCGGAGAGUAAUAUUCACAAGACAUAUGAAGUCAACCGACAAAGGGAUACAGACAGGGGAAAUUGUCUUCCUAGACAUGGUUGCACGAGUGUGUCAAGCUCAAACCAUUUGUUUAGCUUAGUUUCAACAAAAGAAA